This 932-nucleotide long non-coding RNA is filed under the name Pan troglodytes (chimpanzee). RNAcentral describes it as "long non-coding RNA NONPTRT004127". The record is from RNAcentral. Lineage: Eukaryota; Metazoa; Chordata; Mammalia; Primates; Hominidae.
UAAGAGCAGGGAAAUUUGGACACAGGCACAGAGGAAAGAAGGUCAUGUGAUGACACAGGCAGAGAUUGGAGUGGUGCAGCUGCAAGCCAAGGAAAGCCAAGGAUUUCCAGCAACCACCAUUAGCUAGAAAGAAGCAAAGAAAGAUAAUUCCCUAGAGCCUUCAAAUAGAGCACAGCCCAACUGACACUUUAACUUUGGACUUCUAUCCUCCAGCAAUAAAUAUUAGAUCACUUAGGAAUGGUAGAAAUAUCUGGUGAUGGAAUUUCAAGAAUGGAACCUCUGGCCGGGCGUGGUGGAGACAGAGUCUCACUCUGCACCGCGCUGGCCAGAUUUUGGUCUUUCUUAUGGGAAACCUGAGUUCCUGCAUUAGAGGUAUGUUCACACUGGUCUGUUGAAUGCUGUCCUCUUAAAUGUAUUUAAAAAUUGUCCUCUGUAUUUUUCGUAUGCAGUUAUAAAUGUGUUUUGGAUAUCUAUUUUAUUCCUUAAUUUAUAUAUUUGAUUCUAGCAUCAAGCAGGUUCCCUUUGAAUUUUUCCUUUAAAGAACAUGUGUUAUUUCCUAUUACAUCCUGUACCCCUCAAACUGCCCAAUUAGGUAUACUCCUGGGGAAAAUAUGGCAAAGUUUGUUGUAAUGCAGUUUUUUUACCUAAUUAAGUAGCUACUAGAAUAAUUAAUUUCAAAAAUUUGGAGCAAACCUAGAAAGAUGCAGAUGUCUUUGUGGCUUUUCACACAAUCAAGUUUACCUAUCUUUGCUUUUAAUAUGUCUUUCCUCUUGAUGAAAUGUUUAUUUAGUUUAGUAAACUUGGGAUAUGUCAUUUAUAUUCAUAAAUCAACUUUUUAAAAAAGAGAUAAUAAGAAUGUGUAUUGUCUAUGUGUUCGUGUGUAAAACAAGACCCACUUUUAUUUUUUAUUAUUUAUUUUAUGAUUUGAGUUU